RNAcentral lists this ribosomal RNA (368 nucleotides) under uncultured organism. Its description in RNAcentral is "bacterial SSU rRNA". It matches the Rfam family "Bacterial small subunit ribosomal RNA", at positions 526 to 896 of the family's 1533-position model. The record is from RNAcentral.
CGGAGGAUCCAAGCGUUGUCCGGAUUUAUUGGGUUUAAAGGGUGCGUAGGCGGGUUAUUAAGUCAGUGGUGAAAGCCGGCAGCUCAACUGUCGAACUGCCAUUGAAACUGAUAGCCUAGAAUGUAGUAGAGGUAGGCGGAAUGUAUCAUGUAGCGGUGAAAUGCUUAGAUAUGAUACAGAACACCAAUUGCGAAAGCAGCUUACUAUGCUAUUAUUGACGCUGAGGCACGAAAGCGUGGGGAUCAAACAGGAUUAGAUACCCUGGUAGUCCACGCUGUAAACGUUGAAUACUCGAUGUUGGCGAUACACAGUCAGCGUCCAAGAGAAAUCGUUAAGUAUUCCACCUGGGGAGUACGCUCGCAAGAGUG